UCCCCAUGAAGAAACNUUCACACGUCUUACUUCCUGUCCUAGCCCCAGAGCCUGAAAAGGUGAACCCACUGGGGCUGGCUGGGGGAGAAGAGGAAAAAUUGUUCCAGAAGGAACUGUCUGAGGGAU
Molecule: small nucleolar RNA, 126 nt
Filed under: Neotoma lepida (desert woodrat)
Lineage: Eukaryota; Metazoa; Chordata; Mammalia; Rodentia; Cricetidae
Description: Small nucleolar RNA SNORD22
Rfam family: Small nucleolar RNA SNORD22
About the family: U22 is a member of the C/D class of snoRNA which contain the C (UGAUGA) and D (CUGA) box motifs. U22 is encoded within the U22 snoRNA host gene (UHG) in mammals and has also been identified in Xenopus.
Source: Rfam by way of RNAcentral